RNAcentral lists this ribosomal RNA (448 nucleotides) under uncultured organism. RNAcentral describes it as "partial 16S ribosomal RNA". It matches the Rfam family "Bacterial small subunit ribosomal RNA", at positions 335 to 799 of the family's 1533-position model. The record is from RNAcentral.
ACUCCUGCGGGAGGCAGCAGUGGGGAAUAUUGGACAAUGGGCGCAAGCCUGAUCCAGCCAUGCCGCGUGAGUGAUGAAGGCCCUAGGGUUGUAAAGCUCUUUCACCGGUGAAGAUAAUGACGGUAACCGGAGAAGAAGCCCCGGCUAACUUCGUGCCAGCAGCCGCGGUAAUACGAAGGGGGCUAGCGUUGUUCGGAUUUACUGGGCGUAAAGCGCACGUAGGCGGACUAUUAAGUCAGGGGUGAAAUCCCGGGGCUCAACCCCGGAACUGCCUUUGAUACUGGUAGUCUUGAGUUCGAGAGAGGUGAGUGGAAUUCCGAGUGUAGAGGUGAAAUUCGUAGAUAUUCGGAGGAACACCAGUGGCGAAGGCGGCUCACUGGCUCGAUACUGACGCUGAGGUGCGAAAGCGUGGGGAGCAAACAGGAUUAGAAACCCUGGUAGUCCCAUG